This 246-nucleotide ribosomal RNA is filed under the name uncultured Gardnerella sp. Its description in RNAcentral is "partial 16S ribosomal RNA". It matches the Rfam family "Bacterial small subunit ribosomal RNA", at positions 109 to 355 of the family's 1533-position model. Lineage: Bacteria; Bacillati; Actinomycetota; Actinomycetes; Bifidobacteriales; Bifidobacteriaceae. The record is from RNAcentral.
AGUAAUGCGUGACCAACCUGCCCCAUGCUCCAGAAUAGCUCUUGGAAACGGGUGGUAAUGCUGGAUGCUCCAACUUGACGCAUGUCUUGUUGGGAAAGUGUUUAGUGGCAUGGGAUGGGGUCGCGUCCUAUCAGCUUGUAGGCGGGGUAAUGGCCCACCUAGGCUUCGACGGGUAGCCGGCCUGAGAGGGCGGACGGCCACAUUGGGACUGAGAUAUGGCCCAGACUCCUACGGGAGGCAGCAGCA